GAAUUCGGGAUCGACGUUGACCGUCACCAUGCUGUUGAGCCGGUAGCUAGCUUUUUUGGGCAAAAAGCAAAAAUCAGAAGGGCAAUUGAAGCUGAAGGAAUUCCUUACACUUAUAUUUCCUCUAACGCCUUUGCCGGAUACUUCCUCCCUACAUUAGGACAACAAAAUGUCACAUCUCCUCCCCGCGAUAAAGUGGUCAUUCUUGGAGAUGGAAAUGUCAAAGGUAACAUCUUACAAAAUCUUUUCAAAACAUUUUUUUUUUCUACAUGGACAUACUCGAUUACCUGUUAAAAUUGUACAUUUGAAAUUCGUGUUUUAGGAGUUUAUGUCACGGAGGAAGACAUCGGGACUUAUACCAUUAAAGCAGUGGACGAUCCAAGAACCUUGAACAAAGUUGUAUACUUUAGGCCUCCUGCCAAUGUUUUGUCUUUCAACGAACUCGUCUCAUUGUGGGAGAAUAAAAUUAAGAGCACCCUCGAGAAAAUUUAUGUUCCAGAGGAUCAACUUCUUAAGAGCAUUCAAGGUUAGUACGAACAAUCUUUUUUUAAUGAAAAUAUUUAUGAUAGCAAUACCUUAAAACAAUUUAAUGUGUAACAUAUAUCAUAUGUUAUACUUAUGCUAUAUGAAUUUUUUUUCUUCUAUGCAGAGUCUCCUUUCCCUGCAAACUUAAUGUUGGCAUUAGGUCACUCCAUGUCAGUAAAAGGAGAUUGUACAAAUUUUGAGAUUGAACCUUCUUUUGGUGUGGAAGCUUCUGAAAUUUAUCCUGAGGUGAAAUACACUACGGUCGACAACUACUUGAAUGCAUUUGUUUGAAGCCAAAACAA
RNAcentral lists this long non-coding RNA (824 nucleotides) under Medicago truncatula (barrel medic). RNAcentral describes it as "long non-coding RNA (MTRU_LNC002865)". Lineage: Eukaryota; Viridiplantae; Streptophyta; Magnoliopsida; Fabales; Fabaceae. The record is from RNAcentral.